CCUACGGGGGGCAGCAGUGAGGAAUAUUGGUCAAUGGACGAGAGUCUGAACCAGCCAAGUAGCGUGAAGGAUGACUGCCCUAUGGGUUGUAAACUUCUUUUAUAAAGGAAUAAAACGAGGCACGUGUGCCUUUUUGCAUGUACUUUAUGAAUAAGGAUCGGCUAACUCCGUGCCAGCAGCCGCGGUAAUACGGAGGAUCCGAGCGUUAUCCGGAUUUAUUGGGUUUAACGGGAGCGUAGAUGGGUUGUUAAGUCAGUUGUAAAAGUUUGCGGCUCAACCGUAAAAUUGCAAUUGAUACUGGCAGUCUUGAGUACAGUUGAGGUAGGCGGAAUUCGUGGUGUAGCGGUGAAAUGCUUAGAUAUCACGAAGAACCCCGAUUGCGAAGGCAGCUUACUAAACUGUGACUGACAUUGAUGCUCGAAAGUGUGGGUAUCAAACAGGAUUAGAUACCCUAGUAGUC
Molecule: ribosomal RNA, 460 nt
Filed under: uncultured bacterium
Lineage: Bacteria
Description: partial 16S ribosomal RNA
Rfam family: Bacterial small subunit ribosomal RNA
Source: RNAcentral